Molecule: long non-coding RNA, 3737 nt
Organism: Callithrix jacchus (white-tufted-ear marmoset)
Lineage: Eukaryota; Metazoa; Chordata; Mammalia; Primates; Cebidae
Source: RefSeq, a predicted model, not a curated record
GUUAUCCCCCAAUCAGUGAAGCUUGACUUUACCAGUAAUUUGGUGGCCUGAUACUAUAUGUUUCCUGAUGCAAUGCAGUGAGAAGUAUGCACAUCGCCUAUAAAGUGUUCUUGCUUGAAAUGUUGAACCAAAUCUAAUCAUGAUGAAACAAGUUAAUCCAAGAUGUUGGGCAUUCUGCAUGAUGGUUAUCCUGGACUUCCCAAAGGAUUUGAAGUCAUCAAAAAACAGAGGAGACAAUGUUCAAAGAUUGAGAACUACUAAAGAUAUACAAUAGCUACGCUGUGAUUAAAAUUUCAUUGGAAAUUAAAUCAGAAAAAAAUAGAUAAUAUUUUAGGACAAUUUGAGUACGUUUGCAAAUGCUCUUAUUGAAUUAAUGAUUAUUUUCUUAGGUGUGGUAAUGGUGUUGUGAAAGAGAAGACUCGUACUCUUGAAAGGAGUGCCAAAGAAGUAUUAAGAGGUGAAAUUUCAUGACAUUGGUAGACCAUUUUCAGAAGGUUGGGCCAAAAGAAAGAACGUACCCACAGAGACAUGUUGUUGACAAAUAUUCACUGCACCAUUCCUUCAACUUUUUGGAAUACAACUUUGGUCAUUGUCCCCAGCAAAAGUGGCACUACCCUGGCCUGAGCAGAGGCUAGACCCACCUAGCAAUGUACUGCAGCCUUGUGGCUCUUUCCAAGACAACCACUCUGGAAGACACGGAGUCUAGGUGCUGCCAUGGAGAAGCAAUUAUUUUUCUUCAGUGCUCAUGGGAGAUCAGAGUUCCGAUCCCUCUUUGCAGUGGGUUUGGCUGUGCCUCUCACACUGAAAGCACACCAGCCCUGGUCCUCCCAUUGAUUCAUAAGUACAACACACCACUUCCAGGAUACAGAGCCAUGGUGGAAUGUUCACUGGAGUGAGGCAGCGUAUGGAGCAUGCAGAGCAUGCAGACCCAGGUAAGAUGUACAGGAGGCCGGGAUCACCUGCAAUGACUGUAACCUCAGGCAAAUCUCACAACCUUUCAUAGCCACAGAUUUCACAUGUAUGCUCUGGCAACAUUACCUCAAACCCACACUGUGUGGAUUAUGUGGAUAACUCUCUAAACUAUACAAGUUACACAACGUUUGUUAUUUUGGUGUAUUUUAAUUUAAGGAACAGUGUUUAGCACAUUGAGAUGGUCUUCUGAUCUAUUUUAAGAAAAGGUCAGCUAACAUGAGAUAUAAGAAGAGUAUUAUUCUGAGGUUACCAUUAAGCUAUAAGUCGAAAGAUAAAAUUUUGGUGUCAAAAAAAUUGUUUGAAAAUUUUACCUGUCAAAAAAUAAUUUGUGAUUAAAUAUGCAAAAUUAUCUACAUUAUGCAAAACCAAAAGAUAUGCACAUUUUAAUUUCACAGAAACUCAAAGCACAUUUAUUUUACUUAGGUCACUGUUCGAUAGGAGACCAUAACCUGUACCCCUCCGCCAGGGGUGAUAUAUUAUCUGGCUCAGCCAUGAGUCUGGAGUUGGGCCCCACCAGAAACAGCCUAAGCUAUUCGACCUAAAAGCUAUGUAACUUUGAAGCAGUUUGAAAAGCAGUUACUUUUCAACUUGGUGUCUAUUUCUUUAUCUGCCCAAUAGGGAUAAAAAUCAUUUUUUUGUUCAUCUGGUGACUGAUUUUUAUUAAGAACUAACAUCCUCGGCCCAAGGACUACCCCCAGCUCCAGAACUCUCCAUAGGAAUAGCCAAGACUUUUAUUGCAAAAUUGUAAUUCAACUUCUUCUCUGCCUAAUCUUGUAUUCUUUACCCCUCAAAGAUAUUGCUGCCAAGAGCCCUUCCCGACACACCCACUGUACACAAAUCUCAGUGUAUCAGAGUCUGAUUCCUGGGAACCUAAACUAUGACACCCCUUUUCAGGAAAAAAUGGACAAAAUAUCUAUGUCAAAGAGGCUUGUAAUGCUAAACAUAUUUUCUAGAGGUUAUCCAAAUCUGGUUAAACAAGAAAACCUUGGUGGUCUAGAGUCUAACUUCUUCAACACCUUCUGUUCUGGAACCUUAAUUAAAGCAACUUAACUCAAGAGGGUAUGAGAGAGUUUGCCUUUAAUUGGUGGUCCUCACUCCCAGAAGCACCUCCAAGCAUUUACUCUUUUCUAUAGAUUGGCCUCCCUUUCCCGUGUCAGUUAUUUUUGCUUUCCCUUCCAAAUAUGCAGACCACCCAUGUAAUGAGAUCUUGGUGUAUCCUCACCUGCAAGCACAGAUUACAUGCCUGGCUCUGGCAACCCAUGUUCUGACUUUACUUCUCGUUCAAGCUCUGUAUGCUGUAGUCAACCCUAUUUCCUCACUGCCUUGAUCGUCAAUAAGGAUCAGACAGCAGUACAUCAGAAAGAAUGGGAGAACUUCAAGAAAGACCUAAACUGGCUCAAAGAACAAGUGCCUCAAACCCAAAGGAUGAGCUCAUUUUUCAAAAAGAGAUCCAAAGAACUCCUGAGUGGCAUAUAAAACCCUAUUUCGAGAAAUGGAGUCUUUCAGACGGUAUUUAGCUCAGGACAUUAUCUCCUCCCAUUUUAUAACUAUUUCUUUUUUUGUUUGUUUGUUUAUUGCCUCUGGAACUGGUUCUAGCAGGCAUCCAAGAAAACUGUGGGAACAUCUCAAAGCUGUUGCUAGUUAUUCACCUUCACCACUGCUUCUACAUUUCUAUGACUCUAAGAGCCUCAGUCAAUUAGGUAAUAGUGGAUGGUGACCUUCUAGUCACCUUUUGCCACAACUGCUGUGUUAUGGCCCCAGCACUGGUUUUCCAAAUAAAGGUGAAGGUAAAGGUAUAAAGAAGUGUUUCCUUGAGAGUGCUCAACUUGGCUGAAUAGGAUCUUAGAAGCCCACAGGUCAGAGACUGAGUUCUUAAAUUGUAGAUUUCAGUAACAGCACAGAGAAAACGUUACUGCUUCAUCUUGUUUUUAAAAGGGCUCAGAAUGUGUAAAUUUUUAAAUAAACACUGCUGUGCUAUGAUUCUCAUUUUUGAAGUGCCUUUCAGAGAACUGCUUAUUUUUUCUUCUGUUCUUGCCACACCAAAAGGGAGCUGUGCUGUUGAACUCACUUCAUGCUUGAGACAGAUCCAUCCAAGAAGCAAUACUUGAAUCAUGUAAAGAUGGCUAUAAAUGUUAUAUUGUAUGUUUUCCCUCAUGACUUUAAAGAAAUUCCAAUGUUUCUAGCUUGGUUGUUUGGAUUCCCCCCCCCUCCAGAUUUGAGUGAAUUAGCUCCAUUUCUUUCGCUCUCCCUCAACAAAUGCCUUAGGAGGUCAAGAUUUUUAAUUAUUUCUAGUCAAUAACAAAAGAAACCUAAGUGUACUUAAGGGAACAAGAUAUUUAUUUUUAUGUUGUAUACAUAUCUGUCUCCUCUUCAAUUAAGUAAAUAUUUUUGCCUCUUUCUGUGGAUUAUUGUCCUAAUUUUUCAGUGAUACAUGACAUUAAGUCAUGGAGCAAAAAACAAAUGCUUAAGUGUAGUUGGAAUAUGACCAGGGAGUCAUUAUUACUGUGUGCUGAAAUCCCCUCAUGAUCAAGAAUCAAAACUGACAUAUGAUGAAUUGAGCUAAAGGGUUGACAAGAUGAAUUUUUACAGUGAUGGGUUUAAACUGAAUCUGGCGCUCCUGACUUUAGAAUAAACCUAACUGAAAAUGCUUUUUGUUUUGAGACAGGGCCUCACUGCAUUGCCCAGGCUGGACUUGAACUCCCAGACUCAAGUGCUCCUCCCACCUCAUGCUUCCAAGAAUAUGGGACCACAGGCAUGUGCUACCU